Long non-coding RNA from Peromyscus eremicus (cactus mouse), 1778 nucleotides. RefSeq lists it as uncharacterized. The transcript is spliced from 3 exons. Lineage: Eukaryota; Metazoa; Chordata; Mammalia; Rodentia; Cricetidae. The record is from RefSeq and is a predicted model, not a curated record.
CCUUAAAAGCAACAGCCUGAAGUUAAAUCUCACCAGGAAGUGGUGUGGGGGGUGAGAGAUGAGAAGUGAGAGGGUAGGGUAGGGGACGGCAUGGAAGUGAAGAGCAACACAUCUGGAAAGCCCAGAUACCCCCAAGUUGGAAGUGACCUGCAAGCCCCCAAGGCAGGAGCCAGAAGCCAGAGAGACCCUGUUCUCAGCCUGUAGAGCUGGAAGCUCAGGGUUUGUACUAAUGUACAAAAUCAAUAAGAGGAGAGUGUGGACUUCGACGUCUCUCUUCAUCGACGUCUCUCUUCAUCUUCCUCCAGGCUUUAAAAGGAGGCCAGGAAGUCCUGAUGUUGGUCUCUGUAGAGGCUGUUGCUAAUCUGAGGAAGAUACUUUUGUGGCUGGGGUGAGCUUUACGAUCAGUAAGCCCUUUCCAGAGGAAGCCGGGAAGUCACGUGCCUAUUCUCCAAAUUAUGAGCUUCCUGUGGAAGCCAGAGAGGACUGGAUUCAUUGUGUGUGAUCUGGCUGGAUCCCUGCCCAUGCCUGUUAGUCUGUCAUCUUCUGUAGCUCUGUCCAGGAGACCCAUGAGAAGAACGUAAAAAGAACAGAACCCUGGGGCAUACCUGACCCAUUUCUGAUAAGUCAAGGAAACUUUGCUAAAAAUCCAACAGGUAGGUUGGCAUCAGUUGCCCCAAACCCGAGGGGGCGGGGCUUGAUCUGGCCAAUAGGGAAUGGGUGGAGUCUGAAAUGAAACAGCAGGUUAGGGAGAGGAAGUAAAUCCUGCCAGUUUUCUCUCUGGUCCAUUUUAGUGGGUGUCACUUAUGUGUGCUCACUAAAUAUUUCCAUGUGGUUAUAUGAAAUUUGAACUUGUCUCUAUUAUGGUCAGAGGAAUUUUGAAUAUGUUUAGUUAUAAUAUUAAAUAACAUGUGCUUUUUAAAACUAUAGUAUUAAAUAGAACAUGAGAUAGGUAUACAAUUUCUCACAAAGUUGGAGUAACGGAUACUCUGUCAACAACAACAAAAGUCAUCUAUAAACCACCUACUGAGAAAAAUCCAAGAUGGCCCCAGCUGGCAGGUGGGUCUUCCUGGCCCAUUAGUGAACCCCCAUUCUUGUUUGGAUACCCAUGGACCUUUCCUGGCAAAGGUGAAUGAAUGUUCAUGCUAGAUUUAGAUUUGUAUAAUCAGGAAAAGAUACUCAGAACAGAAAGCAUUAUUGUAAUUUGGACUGAUAUCGUAUCUUUCACCAUCAGAUUAAGGAAUUCAUCUUUAUGACAGGUGCAAUGAGAUGCUGUCCUGUAGGGAACCAUGUCUGGCCACUCAAAAGGUCACAGAGAGAUUAAAAUCGGAACACACACAUCCUCCAUACACACAUGAGAUGGUAAGAAACAGAUCUGCUGUCUGUUAGAAGCAGAGCUUUCCUGGGUGCAUUUCUAUAAUGGAACCAUCCAAUUCCUAGGCUCUGGAACUGGAUUUUGUCACAUACAUUUUGAUGGAAGGAAGUAAACAGAGACAGGAAAAAUUGCUUACACCAUAGAAUGAGUGAAGACUCAUACUUAACAAAGAGGAAUAAUUUAAGAAAUUCAAUGAGAAUGUUAGUUUUUAGUAUAACAAGAUGCAUAAUCUCUUCACGGCCUAGCCACAAAUAGUGAAUGGAUGCAUUCCUGAGUGGUUCACUAUUAGUAUUUCUUUAAGAGUUUUGAGUUUCACAUAAUGUAUUUUGAUCAUAUUCAUCCCCCAACUCUUUGCAGAUCCACCCAGCUUCGUGUCUUUUUAAAUUUUAAACUCUUCAGGACCAGU